Molecule: ribosomal RNA, 438 nt
Filed under: uncultured bacterium
Lineage: Bacteria
Description: bacterial SSU rRNA
Rfam family: Bacterial small subunit ribosomal RNA
Source: RNAcentral
AACGCGAAGAACCUUACCUGGGCUCGAAAUGUAGUGGAAUCCGGCAGAAACGUCGGCGUCUAGCAAUAGACCGCUAUAUAGGUGCUGCAUGGCUGUCGUCAGCUCGUGUCGUGAGAUGUUGGGUUAAGUCCCGCAACGAGCGCAACCCUUAUCUUCAGUUGCUACCCGCAAGGGAGAACUCUAUGAGGACUGCUCCGGAUAACGGAGAGGAAGGUGGGGAUGAGGUCAAGUCAGCAUGGCCUUUAUGUCCAGGGCUACACACGUGUUACAAUGCGCGCUACAGAGCGUUGCAAACCCGCGAGGGGGAGCUAAUCGCACAAAAGCGCGCUCAGUUCGGAUUGCAGUCUGCAACUCGACUGCAUGAAGCCGGAAUCGCUAGUAAUGGCGCAUCAGAACGGCGCCGUGAAUACGUUCCCGGGCCUUGUACACACCGCAUAC